AUAUGCUGGAAACUCCGAGUAUCCUACAGUAGUCGCCUCAGGCGACUGAAAAUCUGUUAGGUGCGGAUUAUCAGCAGGAAA
Molecule: ribosomal RNA, 81 nt
Filed under: Candidatus Beckwithbacteria bacterium
Lineage: Bacteria; Candidatus Beckwithiibacteriota
Description: partial 23S ribosomal RNA
Source: RNAcentral